UCCGUUGGUGAACCAGCGGAGGGAUCAUUACCGAGUUUACAACUCCCAAACCCAAUGUGAACGUUACCAAACUGUUGCCUCGGCGGGAUCUCUGCCCCGGGUGCGUCGCAGCCCCGGACCAAGGCGCCCGCCGGAGGACCAACCAAAACUCUUUUUGUAUACCCCCUCGCGGGUUUUUUAUAAUCUGAGCCUUCUCGGCGCCUCUCGUAGGCGUUUCGAAAAUGAAUCAAAACUUUCAACAACGGAUCUCUUGGUUCUGGCAUCGAUGAAGAACGCAGCGAAAUGCGAUAAGUAAUGUGAAUUGCAGAAUUCAGUGAAUCAUCGAAUCUUUGAACGCACAUUGCGCCCGCCAGUAUUCUGGCGGGCAUGCCUGUCCGAGCGUCAUUUCAACCCUCGAACCCCUCCGGGGGGUCGGCGUUGGGGAUCGGCCCUCCCUUAGCGGGUGGCCGUCUCCGAAAUACAGUGGCGGUCUCGCCGCAGCCUCUCCUGCGCAGUAGUUUGCACACUCGCAUCGGGAGCGCGGCGCGUCCACAGCCGUUAAACACCCAACUUCUGAAAUGUUGACCUCGGAUCAGGUAGGAAUACCCGCUGAACUUAA
Molecule: ribosomal RNA, 598 nt
Filed under: Trichoderma harzianum
Lineage: Eukaryota; Fungi; Ascomycota; Sordariomycetes; Hypocreales; Hypocreaceae
Description: eukaryotic LSU rRNA
Rfam family: 5.8S ribosomal RNA (bases 231-384)
Source: RNAcentral